Molecule: non-coding RNA, 244 nt
Organism: Cyanistes caeruleus (blue tit)
Lineage: Eukaryota; Metazoa; Chordata; Aves; Passeriformes; Paridae
Source: RefSeq, a predicted model, not a curated record
CCGGCUGCCCCGGCACGGAGGAGCCUCCCAGGCAAGCAGGGCCACGGGAGCGGGACACGCACAUCACAAACUCCGUACCGCUGUGGGCUGUCACCACGGGCCUGCCCUACGGAAGGAUACCAUCCUCGCCCGAGGCAAUGGCGGACUGAGGGGAAGAACGGGGUCCAGUUUAACUGAUGUAUAUCCACUGCUACUCAAAAGUACUCGUUUGCUCAUAAAACAGAGCAUCUUCAGACACUGCUUA